This 475-nucleotide ribosomal RNA is filed under the name uncultured Desulfobulbus sp. RNAcentral's name for it is "bacterial SSU rRNA". It matches the Rfam family "Bacterial small subunit ribosomal RNA", at positions 916 to 1381 of the family's 1533-position model. Lineage: Bacteria; Pseudomonadati; Thermodesulfobacteriota; Desulfobulbia; Desulfobulbales; Desulfobulbaceae. The record is from RNAcentral.
GACGGGGCCCGGCACAAGCGGUGGAGUAUGUGGUUAAUUCGAUGCAACGCGAAGAACCUUACCUGGUCUUGACAUCCCGGAGACCCUUAGGAAACUAGGGGGUGCUUCCAUCUGGAAGAAUCUGGAGACAGGUGCUGCAUGGCUGUCGUCAGCUCGUGUCGUGAGAUGUUGGGUUAAGUCCCGCAACGAGCGCAACCCUUGCCUUUAGUUGCCAACAGUUCGGCUGGGCACUCUAAAGGGACUGCCGGUGUUAAACCGGAGGAAGGUGGGGAUGACGUCAAGUCCUCAUGGCCUUUAUGACCAGGGCUACACACGUACUACAAUGGCCGAUACAAAGGGCAGCGACACUGCGAGGUGAAGCCAAUCCCGUAAAAUCGGUCUCAGUCCGGAUUGGAGUCUGCAACUCGACUCCAUGAAGUUGGAAUCGCUAGUAAUCGUGGAUCAGCAUGCCACGGUGAAUACGUUCCCGGGCCUU